CAUGGACGAAAACCCUAGCCGCCAGGCCCGCCAAUCCCCUCCCGAGCGCCUCCUCUCCCAAUCCCGCCACGCUCGCGUCGCCUAUCCCCACGAGCAGCCGCUCGCCCAAUCCCUCUCGCUUCACCUCCUCCAAUCCCUGACCUAUCUCUUCUUCUCCUCAAUCCCCGCUCCUAUCAUCGUCCUGCGUGCCGUCGUGGUCUUGUUCGUCGAGACAGUAGGUGAGGAGGUAGCCCUCCAUGGUGCCCCGAUUCGCGCCGCCGACCUGCAGGAGCAGGGCACCUUCGCGGGAGAAGAGGCUGGGAGCUCCGCCUCCUAGACGCCACCACAUCCGUUCUACCGCAUCGCAGCCGAUGGUUCGGGAAGAGUGGCCGGUGGCCUACGGGAGCAGCGCAGCCAAGGAUCGAGCGGCCGGCCGCCGUCCUGCACAUCUUUGAUGUGUUGACGCUGGCCAGCAGACUAGCAGUCUGCCCUCCUCUGACUUUUCUUCAAAGCGACCAGCAGGUUCUCUCUACAUCUCUUUCUCAAAGGAACGGUGAAUCACAUAUGUGGUUGUGCAGACCCUUUUCUAUUUAUGUCUUACAAGGUGCUUGAUGAAAAUCCUAGCUAAUAUUACUAUUGACGGAAAGUUGCAGCCAGUGGUGGUGUUCCUUGGCAAUGACGAGAGGAGCAUACGAUGGAUUCUUCAAGAUUCAAUGCAGUUAUGGUGCUACACUGUUACCCUCCUUGGUGUCGCAUGUUUCCCUGAUUUUACCUUCCCAGAGAGGCUGAUGGAUUCUGGACAGGUGUAGGUUCUAUUAUUGAAGUGUGUUCUGGUGAUUGUGGAGUGUGCCUGCACUGAAAUAUUAUGGUUUUUCUGUUGGUAAUUGGAUAGGUGGUUCCUUGUACAGCUUAUAUGUCAUUGGAUUUGCAAUGCUCAACGCCUUUGAAUUAUUUUUCUUUAGGUAUAACAAGAUAGUGAUGAGUUUAUUUUUGCCAAUGUUUGAUGGUACUUUGGCAUAUAUAUUUCAUUGGAGAUAUAGAAUAUAAUAGCUAGAUGGUUGCA
Molecule: long non-coding RNA, 1042 nt
Organism: Lolium perenne
Lineage: Eukaryota; Viridiplantae; Streptophyta; Magnoliopsida; Poales; Poaceae
Source: RefSeq, a predicted model, not a curated record